CGGAACGGGUGAGUAACGCGUGAGGAACCUGCCUCAAAGAGGGGGACAACAGUUGGAAACGACUGCUAAUACCGCAUAAGCCCACGGCUCGGCAUCGAGCAGAGGGAAAAGGAGUGAUCCGCUUUGAGGUGGCCUCGCGUCCGAUUAGCUAGUUGGUGAGGUAAUGGCCCACCAAGGCGACGAUCGGUAGCCGGACUGAGAGGUUGAACGGCCACAUUGGAACUGAGACACGGUCCAA
Molecule: ribosomal RNA, 238 nt
Filed under: uncultured bacterium
Lineage: Bacteria
Description: partial 16S ribosomal RNA
Rfam family: Bacterial small subunit ribosomal RNA
Source: RNAcentral